RNAcentral lists this long non-coding RNA (18901 nucleotides) under Sorghum bicolor (sorghum). Its description in RNAcentral is "long non-coding RNA (SBIC_LNC000937)". The stretch from base 5200 to 5306 matches the Rfam family "Plant small nucleolar RNA R71". The record is from RNAcentral. Lineage: Eukaryota; Viridiplantae; Streptophyta; Magnoliopsida; Poales; Poaceae.
CCCUGUAAUAAUGUUGCUCUGCCUGCCCUAUACACGAGAGGGGGACUAUAUAGGAAUCAAUGGAGCUGUCACUACCACGAACUACCCCGCGAUCUGGCAUAUAGGGUACAAUCACAGAUGAAUACGGUAUAGGCACCACGCCUACACAAUACUUAUCAUUUACCCACUGUACACAUGGAUAAACGCUAUACGAUCCUUAACAUGCAUAUAAUUCCAAUCUAACUAAGCCAAGCAUAUAACUAUGAUAAACUAAGAACGAUAUAAUUGCAAAUAUAAACAAGUAGAGCAAAGUCAUAAUCAAUAUAUUGAAGUAGAACAAAGUCAUAUUCAUAAUAUUGAAGAACAAUGAUGAACAAAUGAAGAACAGUAGAGGAAUUACCAAGAAUCCUCUUGACAGAUCUGGAAACCAAUCGAAGGUUAACUCCUUCUAGUUCUAAUCCUAUUAGCUAUGCUAAACUAGAGAUCUAGUUGAUGUGCUGGCUCUAGGGCUUGAUCAGAGACUUCUUCUCCCGAAAUGAAUGAAUGAAUUAGGGCUUUAGAGGUCCUCUCCUCCAGGGGCCAGGGGCCUGCUUAUAUAGCCCUUCCAAAUGAAUAUGGGCCAUCGGAUCAAACCGACCUUAAUCGCACGGUUUUCCUUAAUCCUCUAGGUCGGUGGAGCAUGAUCCGUGAGGUGGAGCCUAAUUGGCUCUCAGGCCAGGGCGGGCGCCCUAUCCCCGAGCCCUCUCGGCCUCCCGCUCGUUCCUGUGGCUUCUGGACUCUUCUAGAUGUUAGAUAAUUGCGGUGCACGUUAAUAUCUCUAUGUAAACCCGUCGUUUGGGCCUUUCUUCCAUGUUUCCUGAUAACCCCCUGUAGAAAUAGACAAACACCAAAACUCGUGGAAUUCUAUCAGAUAAAACCCUAAGUCUGGGUGUCGGUUGCAUUUGGAUCCCUUUCUUUGUUUAUUUGUUGAUUAUAUUUGAUACUUAAGGACCGUCAACAAACUCCCCCAAGCUUACCUCUUGCUCGUCCCUGAGCAAGGAUAGACUCAAUGAUGGAAUAGAAGCUGCUGUAAUCCCUUUAAAAGUUGACGGUACACAUGCUUUCAAAUGAGGUCUCAUCUCUGAGUUAGAGUAAACUGUCAAGAUUAAAACUUACUCAUUUUACCUUUUACCAUGGGACUUGUAACCGUCACUUUUGUCUUGAGCAGUGAAAAGAUAGAACGGUCUAGUCAAGCGUCAUGUCUCUUAUUUUUGAUCAGCUAUAGCUCUGGAGUUUUUGUAGAUUUUCAAAUAAAACUCAGAGAUUCCUUUGUAUGACUCUCUCAGAUAUCUCUUUUGUGGUAUUUCUAGAUCCUUACCAAGGCAGUGAUGGUAUAUGCCUUCUCUCAAAGUAUGUGGUAUUUGUGGUAUGAAGCAUAGUAAACUUGCCUUCUCUCUCACCCUACUUUCAUAAGGCUUUUGAUAUCUGGAGCUCAUAGGUGGGAGAUAAAGUAUACAUACUUACAAGACAUUUAUUGCAUAGUCAAACCAUGGAUCUAGAGAAACAAGUCAAUAAGUCAAAUCAAGAUGUGCAUGUGUGGCGAAUGAAUGGUGUAACAAUGGUGAAAGUCUAAUUCUACUUGUUGUGCUCUUUUGAGGGGAUACAUACCUUUCUUGCUCUUUGAAACUUUUUGAGGAGAAUGAGAUGCUCUAUAUUUUCUUUUUCUUUCCCCUCAGGUGGGUAUCUUGUACCCCUAAUUCUACUAUCGGACACUUGUCCAUUUCUACCUCUCGUCUCACUUUUUCUUUUCUUUUGAGGUUCCGGGCGCUUGCCCCUUUUUAUUUCCUCGUAUCUUUUUUCUUUUUUUAGAGCACUCAUCUCCUGAAAUAGUAUAGCAAGUGGUAGUAACCAAGAUAACUCGAGCAUUUAUUUCACGUGGAAAAAACAGAAAUAGGAGAAUGUUUUUGGCUAUUCUCUCUCGGAUUAGGAGUAGAAUACUUUUGGGUGGCUCUAGAGAUGGAAAUGAGUAGAUAUAUGUGGUGCGUACUUCUGGAGUAGAAGCAGCAUGUGUGAGUGAACGUGCAAGAGAAUCUUGAUUUUAACCGCAUGACAAGCUCCUAAGGGUCUACACAGCUUGACCACACUCAAUGCUCAUAAGCAGUAAAAAGUAAAUGUGUGGCUCAAAGUCUAGCAAGCAUGUAUAUAUGGCUGUGGUAGAAAUUUAAACUCUCAUCAUAUAAGAACUCAUCAUGUGAUAUUUUAAAGAUUUUCAAAGAUAAAAUUCUCUAGAGUUCUAGCAUCUAUAGGAACAGAUAAACAGCAGCUCAACCUUCCCAUAUCAUAUCCGUUAACAACUUAGACUUCAGAUCAAGUUCUCUUCCCACAAAUUCAGGUUUAGAGCAAGCUUUAAAUUAUAACAGUUACGUCUAAACUAGAGAGAGAACUCAAAUAUGAAAAUUAGGCAGAGCAACUAUUCAUCAUAUCCAUGCUAGAGUCUUAUUAAGAUUCAGUUUAGCAUAGCCACUUUAUUUAUUUAUUAAGCAUACUAAGCAAAAGAUAUAUAUAUAUAUAUAUAAGCACAAAAUCUUUAUUUGGUUUUUCAUGGUUAUGUAUAUAUUUUUUUUAAUAUAGUAUAAGUAUAAAUGUAGAUAGAAAUAUUUAGGGGGAUAAAUGGGGGUGCUCUCCCCCAAGCUGGAUUUUGACGUAAUUUCUUCUGAUGUAGCUAGCAGGUGCUGGAGGUGUAUUUGAAAGUCGGCAGCACCCUGAGAGCAAUUAGAAUGUCCUCCGUCUGCUAGUCUUCUUGAUCCUUGAAUUCUGUGGAGCUCCAAUAGACAACAAAGCUUUGUGGAACUGAUUAGAUGUUAGCAUAAUAUUUAGCCUUUAUCAUAUUGAGCCACCUCAAUAAAUGCUACUUUCUUUGGUAGGAUCACAAUUUUAUUUUUGUAUUUUCAUUUUUAUAGAGUAGAAGAAUAUUUUUAUUUUAUUAUUUUUUUUAUGCCACCACAGUGAAUGUACUUAUGGGUUUUAUGCCACUUGUAUACUCACAUGGGGCUUACUGGUUUUAACAUUUUUAUUUUCUUUUUAGGAUAGUAUGAACAUAAUUAACUAAGCAAACUACUUUAAAUAAUUGAAAGGAAAAGGAUAACUACCAAGUUUACCUCUUGGCAAGGCGUUCGGUGUUUUUAAGUCCUCCGAACGGGACUCUCCGUUUUCUCAGUCGUCUUGGGAUUCGCUGGAUGGCAUAGUCGGUGCCUCUGGCGGUGCCUCCUCUUCGUGUAUAACUAUCUUCUUUCUCCACACCUGACUCGGUGUUACGGUCUCCUCAGGAUAGUUCUGUUCAAGCUGUAUGUCUUCAGACCUUACCACUUCUUCUUCAUAGUCUGCCCAUCCGUCCUUGAUGAUUUGCCUCCUCUGGUUGCGGUUGCGUCGUCUUCUUCUUGUCCUGACCUGCUUAGAGUCUUCAACUAUAUAGUUAGGGUCACUAAAAUAGCGGCGUACCUUCUCAUAGUGGAAGUGCAUGUGGACUUCUCCGGUUCCAAUGUAGAUGAUUGCUUUAAUGGUGCUGAGGAACCGUCUCCCAAGGAUGAUGGGUGGAUCAUACUCGUCUUCUCCCAUGUCAAUAACCUAAAAAUCUGUAUGGACAAAACGAUCAUCUAUUUUGACAGGGACAUCAGUUACUAUACCUUCAACCUUUCGGAAUGUCUAAUCUGCCAUCUGGAGCUGAAUGUAUUUCGGUUUUAGGGGCAUGCGAAUAGGAGCUGAUAGGUGACUGCGGCCAUUAUGUUGACGCCCGACCCGGUGUCGCAAACCGUCUUGUGAAAGUUGUAUCCAUUGAUGGAGCACUGGAUGCUUGGCAUACCUGGGUCAUCCUUAUUGGUCAGGAAUGGUGACUUGAGUUGACAAUCUUGACCUCCUUGAAUUGCAGUGACCAUCUAAGCUGACUUGGUCCACACUUGCUUGUUCCUGAUCCUCCUGUUGGUCCUCUUCCUUGGUUCAUGUCGAGAUUGCUCUGGGAUUUGUAUAGUCUUGUUCUUGAAGGAAAACGUCUCCUUCCUUCCCUUGAUGUAGAAACUGAUCUUGGCAGCACUAGCGUAGAUGACAGCCCCCUAGGUGUUCAGGAAUGGCCUCCCUAAGAUGACGGGUGCCCUCUCAUCAGAACCUGUCUCUAUCACCACGAAGUCUGCUCGGGCGUACAAGGUACCAACUCGGAGGCAGAGGUUCUUCAAUAUUCCCUUGGGGAAACUUAUCGUCCGAUCUACAAGCUGCAAGUACAUGGUUGUUUCUAGUAAAGGAUGUGUAAAGAAUUUUUCAUAGACUACCUUGGGCAUAAUGUUGAUGCUGGAGCCCAAGUCGCAGAGUGCUUCUGGGAAGUCCACCCUGCCCAUGGAGAUCGGUAUGACGGGGCGUCCUGGAUCGCCUCUCUUGAUCGGCAGAAGGUCAGUAGUUACUUCCACAACGUGGUUACUCCAGUAGUUACCUGUAUCAAACAUGUCUACAAGAUUUGCAGAUUCUAAUCCUUCCAGCUGUGAUGGUAUACCGGGGUUAGUAGUUGGAACAGCAGCAGCUAUUUGAUUUAAUUGAGAUUCAAUCAUUUUAUUAAAGCUAAUUUGAUUCUUGAUGGCAGUAGAGAAAUUAUGCAUUCUGUUAUUUAUAUUUUCUAGCAUUUUAUCAUUAGAUGCCAAUUUCUUAGAUAGGUUAUCCAUUAGGUUUCCUUGAUUAGACACUAACACUCUUAGAGGUGGAAAAAUAUUAUUAUUAUUGUAAGAAUUGUUACCUUGAUAAUUACCUGAGUAGUUAGGCCUCUGUUGAUUCCAACCUUGAUUUUAUUGAGGACGGUAGUAGUAGUAGUUGUUGUUGUUGAUGUAGUUCACGUCCUUAAGAAUCUCAGGGCAGUGAUUGUCUGAGUGUCCAGUAUCUCCACAAUCCUCACAAGUCAUGUGAGAGUCGUAGACGUGCAUGACUUCUUUCUUAUCUCCCGCUCUAUCAUCGAGCUUCUUCAUGAGCAGGUCUAGCUUGGCAGACAGCAUGUCUACCUCCUUGAGCUGGUGCAUACCUCCACCUCUCUUGCGUGUUUGGGUCAUUUCUUCAUUCCAGCCUUGGUUGGACGCCAUCUUCUCCACAAGAGCUGUGGCUUGUGGUAUGGUGAGUGAUAGGAAUGCUCCUCCAGCUGUAGCAUCCAUGGUCUCACGGGCACUAUUGCCGAGCCCAUGAUAAAAUGUCUGCAUCAGUAGCCAGCUCUCCAUUCCAUGAUGGGGGCAUUCUAGGAUGUAGUCUUGGAAGCGCUCCCAUGCUUCUGGAACGGAUUCAUCAUGUUGUUGCUGAAAACUUGUAAUUUUCCCACGGAGAGGAUUGGUCUUACCCAUGGGAGAGAACUUAGCCAGAAAGUUUAUGGAGCAGAGUGCCCACGUAGUAUUCUUCUCCUUUGUAGCGUAGAACCACUGCUUCGCUCUCCCCAACAGUGAGAAUGGGAAGAGGCGAAGUAGUAUAGCAUCUCUGGGGACUCCUGACAUGGUGAAUGUGCUGCAAAUCUCCAGGAAGUGUUGGAGAUGAGCACUAGCAUCUUCGUACGCCUUUCCACAGAACUAGUUGGCUUGCACCAUGUUGAUGAGUCCAGGCUUGAGCUCAAAGCUACAGUCGAUCUCCACAGCAGGUCCAAUGCGGAUGUUGUCUGUAGUGGGAGCUGAGAACUCGUGGAUCGACUUGUUCGCCAUGGCUUCGUACUCUGAAGACAAGUUCCUGAUGAAACUUCGGUGGUCUUCUUGGUUUGAUGAAGCUUUGUGCUGAAGUGUUGACGAUGUCUUCUUGAGCUUGGCUCUUGUUUUUCUGAAUAACGCUUCGGGGUCGUCAACAAAAUUUCCUAGAUGAUGUCUUCUAUUCAUACAUUAUCAUGCAUAAAAUAAUCAAAAUAGAAAAAUACAGGCAUAAAACUGUAUGAGAGAAUUGAUAAUCUCAAUCAUAUUAGUGAUGCGAAUGAUGACUCGAAAUUUCGUAUUCAUUCCUUAUUAGUAAUCAACCUUCCCCAGCAACGGCGCCAAAAAUGCUUGUUGGGCAUUCUUAACGUCAUUACCAAAAGUAGACUUAGUUUUCUAAUUCUGAUAACGGCGCCAAAAAUGCCGAACCUAUCCCUCAUGCCACUUAAGCCAAGUUGUCAUCCCCAGCAUGACAUGAGAGACGCGGUAUUAAAAAUAUGCAAUUGCUCUUCUGAAUGAAUAAUAAAUGAGAUCUACAAGCGCACAGAUUAAUACUGAUGUAGCAUUUUAACCGGGAAGUAUUACUGGUAUCGUUAUUAAUAUUUUUACCACUGGGAAGGGAUUGCUAAUCAUCAAUAUUGAUUAAGGAAUGGAAUAUGGAAUAUGUAUAAUAGAGAGCAUUUAUCUAUCUCUUUCAUAUAGGGAUAAAUGUCACAUAAAAGAUAGAUAGAGUAUGAAUGGUGACAAAGAUAAUUAAUCUGAUCAGCAUAACUAGCCACAUAUAAUAAUGAUAAGCACCUCAAUAGAUAUUGUAGCAAGCCAUUAGCAUGGAAUUAGGAUGAACUACAAGAAUAUUUUCUAACUUAUUUGUUGACGGUCCUUAAGUAUCAAAUUUAAUUAUCAAAUAAACAAAGAAAAGGAUCCAAAUGAAAUCAACAUCUAGACUUAGGGUUUUAUCUGACAAAAUUCCACGAGUUUUGGUGUUUGUCUAUUUCUGCAGGGGGUUAUUAGGAAAUACGGAAGAAAGGCCCACACGUCGGGAUUACAUAAAGAUAUCAACGUGCCGCGCAAUUAUCUUACAUCUAGAAGACUCGAGAAGCCACGGAAAGGAAGCGAAGGCCGAACGGGGCCUGGCCCUGGGCGCCCGCCCAGGUAACCAGGGCGCCCGCCCCCCUUCUGAGUCCAAUCAGGACUCUCUUUCGGGAAAGAUCUCCACCGACCUAAAGGAUCAAGGAUAAUCGUUCAAUCAAUGUCGGUUUGAUCCAACGGCCCAUAUUCACUUGAAGGGACUAUAAAACUAGACCCCCUGGCCCCUGGAGGAGAGAGCCUCUCAACCCGAAUUCAUUAUUCUCAAGGGAGAAGAAGCCUCUGAUCAAGAUUAGAGCCACCACAUCAAUUAGAUAUCUAGAUUAGCAUAGCUACAUAGGAUUAGAACUAGAAGGAGUCAAUCUUCGAUUGGUUUCCGGAUCUGUCAAGAGGAUUCUUGGUAAUUCUCUAAUUGUGCUUCUAAUUGUUCUUCUAAUCAUCUUUGUUCUUCAAUAUUAUGAAUAUGACUUUGUUGUACUUCAAUAUAUUGCUUAUGACUUUGCUCUACUUGUUUAUAUUCAAGAUUAUAUUGUUCUUAGUUUAUCAUAGUUAUGUACUUGGCUUAGUUAGAUUGGAUCUAUAUACAUGCUUAGGAUCGUAUAGCGUUUAUCCAUCGGAACCAUAGGUAAAUGAUAGAUAUUGUGUAGGCGUGGUGCUUAUACCGUAUUUAUCUGCGAUUGUACCCAAUAUGCCAGAUCGUGGGGUAGUUCGUGAUAGUGACAGCUUCAUUGAUUCUUAUAUAGUCCCCCUCUCGUGUAUUGGGCUGGCAGAGCAAUAUUAUUACAGGAGAGUGUUUGCUAUGUUUCUCAUUUACCUUGCUAAUAUCACUAUGCAUGGGCGUAGUCUUGUCUCGCAAUGAUUGCUAAGUAUGCUUGCACUAACUAUGAUAAUGCUAGACUAUAUAGUUGAGAAUAACUUAGGAAAUAUUCUUGUAGUUUGUUCUAAUACCAUGCUAAUGACUUUCUAGAAUAUCUAAUUGAGGUGCUUAUCAUAUUUAUUAUGUGGCUAAGUUAUGCUGAUCAGAUUAAUUAUCUUUGUCACUAUUCAUUACUUCAUAUAUCCUUUAUGUGACACUUAUCCGUAUAUGUUAUCCCUGUAUGAAAGAGUUAGAUAAAUGUUCUCAAUUAUAUAUGCAAUGAUAGAUACUCAAUCUCAUAUUCUAUUCUGUAAUCAAUAUUGAUGAUUGCUAAUCCCUUCCCAGUGGUAAAAAUAUAAAUAACGAUACCUAGAAUACUUCCCGGUUAAAAUGCUACAUCGGUAUUAAUCUGUGCGCUUGCAGAUCCUAUUCAUUAUUUAUUUAGAAGAGCAAUUGCAUAUUUCAAUACCGCGUCUCUCAUGUCAUGCUGGGGAUGACAACUUGGCUUAAGUGGUAUGAGAGAUAGGUUUGACAUUUUUGGCACUGUUACUAGAAUUAGAAAACUUUCUACUUUUGGUAAUGAUGUUAAGAAUACCCAACAAGCAUUUUUGGCGCCGUUGCCAGGGAAGGUUGAUUACUAAUCAGGAAUGAAUAAAGGAUUUUGAGUUAUCAUUCCCAUCACUAAUAUGAUUGAGCUUAUCAAUUCUCUCAUACAGUUUUACCCUAAUAUUUACUAUUUUUAUCUUAUGCACGGGAAUGUAUGAAUAAAAGACAUCUUCCAGAACAUUUUGUUGUCAAUCCUGAAGCAUUAUUCAGAAAAACAAGAGCCAAGCUCAAGAAGAGAUCAUCAACACUUCAGCAAGAAGCUUCAUCCAAUCAAGAAGAUCACCGGAACUUGUCUUCAGAGUUCGAAGCCAUGGCGAACAAAUCAAUCCGUGAGUUCUCAGCUCCCACUACGGACAACGUCCGCACUGGACCUGCUGCAGAGAUCGAUGGCCACUUUGAGCUCAAUCCUGGACUUAUCAACAUGGUGCAAUCCAACCAGUUCUGUGGGAAGGCACACGAAGAUGAUAGUGCUCAUCUCCAACACUUCCUGGAGAUUUGCAACACAUUUACCAUAUCAGGAGUCCCCAGAGAUGCUAUACUACUUCGCCUCUUCCCAUUCUCACUGUUAGGAAGAGCGAAGGAGUGGUUUUACGCUACAAAGGAGAAGAACACUACGUGGGCACUCUGCUCAACAAACUUCCUGGCUAAGUCCUUUCCCAUGGGCAAGACCAAUGCUCUCCGUGGGAAGAUUAUAAGUUUUCAGCAACAAAAUGAUGAAUUUGUUCCAGAAGCAUGGGAGCGCUUCCAAGACUACAUCCUAGAAUGUCCCCAUCAUGGAAUGGAGAGUUGGCUACUAAUGCAGACAUUUUAUCAUGGGCUCGGCAACAGUGCCCGAGAGACCAUGGAUGCUGUAGCUGGAGGAGCAUUCUUAUCACUUACCAUAUCACAAGCCAUAGCUCUUGUGGAGAAGAUGGCAUCCAAUCAAGGCUGGAAUGAAGAGAGGACCCAAACACGCAAGAGAGGUGGAGGUAUACAUCAGCUCAAGGAGGUAGACAUGCUAUCUGCAAAGCUAGACCUGCUCAUGAAGAAGCUCGACAAUAGAGCUGGAGAUAAGAAAGAAGUUUUGCACAUCUACGACUCUCACAUGACUUGUGAGGAGUGUGGAGAUACUGGACACUCAGGCAAUCACUGCCCUGAGAUGCUUGAGGAUGUGAACUACAUCAACAAUAACAUCAACAACUACUACAACCGUCCUCAACAAAAUCAAGGUUGGAAUCAACAGAGGCCUAACUACUCAGGUAAUUAUCAAGGUAACAAUUCUUACAACAAUAACAAUAAUUUUCCACCUCUGAGAGAGUUAGUGUCUAAUCAAGGAAAGCUAAUGGAUAACCUAUCUAAGAAAUUGACAUCUAAUAAUAAAAUGCUAGAAAAUAUAAAUAAUAAAAUGGAUAAUUUCUCUACUGCCAUCAAGAAUCAAAUUAGCUUUAAUAAAAUGUUUGAAUCUCAAUUAAAUCAAAUAGCUGCUGCUGUUCCUACUACUAAGCCCGGUAUACCAUCACAACCGGAAGGAUUAGAAUCUGCAAAUCUUGUAGACAUGUUUGAUACAGGUAAUAACUGGAGUAACCCCAUCACUAAAUUCACUACUGACCUUCUGCCGGUCAAGAGAGGCGACCCAGGACGCCCCGUCAUCCCGAUCUCCAUCGGCAUGGUGGACGUCCCAGAAGCACUCUGUGACUUUGGCUCUAGCGUCAACAUUAUACCCAGGGUACUCUAUGGAAAAUACUUUACAUAUCCUUUAUUAGAGACAACCAUGUGUUUGCAUUUUGCACAUCAGACGAUAAGUUUCCAAAAGGAAUCUUGAAGAACUUUUGUGUCCGAGUUGGUACCUUGUAUGCCCGAGCAUACUUCAUGGUGAUAGAGACCGGUAAUGAUGAGAGGGCACCCAUCAUCUUAGGGAGGCCAUUCUUGAACACCUCAGGAGCUAUCUUCUACGCUAGUGUUGCCAAGAUCAGUUUCUACAUCAAAGGGAGGAAGGAGACGUUUUCCUUCAAAAACAAGACUACACAAAUCCCAGAUCAAUACAGACGUGAAUCAAGGAAGAGGACCAACAGGAGGAACAGGAACAAGCAAGUGCGGACCGAGUCAGCUAAGAUGGUCACUGUAGUUCAUAGAGGCCAAGAUCAACAACUUAAGUCACCAUUUUUGACCAAGAAGGAUGACCCAGGAUUGCCAAGCAUCUACUGCUCCAUAAAUGGAUACAACUUCUACAAGACGACUUGCGACAUCAGAUCGGGCGUCAACAUAAUGGCCGCAGUCACCUAUCGGCUCUUGUUCGGAACCAUGCCCCUGAAACCAACAUACAUUCAGCUCCAGAUGGCAGAUCAGACGUUUCAAGAAGUUAAAGGUACGGUAAUUGAUGUCCCAGUCAAAAUAGACGAUCAUUUUAUCUACACAGACUUUCAGGUUAUUGACAUGGGAGAAGACGAAUACGGUCCACCCAUCAUCCUUGGAAGACCGUUCCUCAGCUCCGUUAAAGCAAUCAUCUACAUUGGAACCGGAGAAGUGCAUAUGCACCUCCCCUCAGAGAAGGUACGCCGCUAUUUUACUGACCCUAACUAUAUUGUUGAAGACUCCAAGUAGGUCAAAAAACGACGCAACCGCAACUAGAGGAGGCAAAUCAUCAAGGACGGAUGGGCAGACUAUGAAGGAGAAGUAGUAAGGUCAGAAGACGUACAGUUUAAACAGAAUUAUCCAGAGGAGACUGAAGCACCGAGUCAGGUAUGGAGAGAGAAAAUAACUAUACAUGAAGAGGAGGCGCUGCCGGAAGUACCGACUACGCCUCCCAACGAAUCUCAGGACAACUGAAAAUACGGAGAGUCCCGUUCGGAGGACUUAAAAACACCGAACGCCUUGCCAAGAGGUAAACUUGGUGUUAUCCUUUCCCUUUCAAUUAUUUCAAAUAGUUUGCUUAGUCAAUCAUGUUCAUACUAUCCUAAAAAGAAAAUAAAAAUGUGAAAAAAUAGUAAGCCCCAUGUGAGUAUACGAGUGGCAUAAAACCCAUAAGUACAUUCACUAUGGUGGCAUAAAAAUAAAAUAAAUAUUUCUUUUCUGCUUUAUAAAAUAAAAAUAUAAAAAUAGGGAGUAACAUUUAUUAAGGAGUCUCAACAUGAUAAAGGCUAGAUAUUUAUGCUAACACUUAAUCAGUUCCACAAGCUUUGUUGUCUAUUUGAGCUCCACAGAAUUUAAAAAUCAAGAAGACUAGCAAACGGAGGACAUUCUAAUCGCUGUCAAGAUACUGCCGACUUUCAAAUACACCUCUACCACCUGCUAGCUACAUCAAGAGAAAUUACGUCAAAAUUUAGCUUAGGGGAGAGCACCCCCAUUUAUCCCGCUAAGUAUUUCUAUCUAUCUUUAUACUUAUACUAUAUUAAAAUAUAAAUAUACAUAACUAUGAAAAACCAAAUAAAGAUUUUAUGCUUAUAUAUAUAUAUCUUUUGCUUAGUGUGUUUAAUAAAUAAAUAAAGUGGCUAUGCUAAUCUGAAUCUUAAUAAUAAAACUCUAGCAUGGAUAUGAUGAAUAGUUGCUCUGCCCAAUUUUAAAAUUUGAAGUUCUCUCUCAAGUUUAGACAUAACUGUUAUAAUUUAAAGCUUGCUCUAAACCUAAACUUGUGGGAUGAAAACUUGAUCUGAAGUCCAAGUUGUUAACGGAUAUGAUAUAGGAAGGUUGAGCUGUUGUUUAUCUGUUCCUAGAGAUGCUAGAAUUCUAGAGAAUUUUAUCUUUUAAAAUCUUUAAAAUAUUGUAUGAUGACUUCCUGUAUGAUGAGAGUUUAAAUUCCAACCACAACCAUAUAUACAUGCUUGCUAGACUUUGAGCCACACAUUUACUAUUUACUCCUUAUGAGCAUUGAGUGUGGUCAAGCUGUGUAGACCCUUAGAAGCUUGUCAUGUGGUUAAAUCAAGAUUCACUUGCACGUUCAUUCACAUAUGCUGCUUCUACUCCGGAAGUACCAUGCACAUAUAUCCACCCAUUUCCAUCUCCAGAAUCACCCAGAAAUAUUCUACUCCUAAUCCGGGGAGAGAAUAGCCAAAAAUAUUUCUGUUUUUCCCUGUGAAAUAAAUGCUCAAGUUAUCUUGUUACUACCACUUGCUAUAUUAUCUCAAGAGAUGAGUGCUCUAAAAAAAAAGAGAGAAAGAAAAAAGUAUACGAGGAAAUAAAAAGGGGCAAGUACCCGGAACCUCGAAAGAAAAGAAAAAGUGAGACGAGAGGUAAAAAUGGACAAGUGUCCGACAGUAGAAUUAGGGGUACAAGAUACCCACCAGAGAGGAAAAAAAGAGAAGAGCAUCUCAUUCUCCUCAUAAAGUUUCAAAAAGCAAGGAAGGUAUGUAUCCCCUCAAAGAGCAAAAGUAGAAUUAGACUUUCACCAUUGUUAUCAGAAUCAUCACCAUACACCAUUCAUUCGCCACACAUGCACAUCUUGAUUUGACUUAUUGAUUUGUUUCUUUGGAUCCAUGGUUUGACUAUACAAUAAAUGUCUUGUAAGUAUGUAUACUUUAUCUCCCACCUAUGUGCUCCAAAUAUUAAAGCUUUAUUAGAGUAGGGUGAGAGAGAAGACAAUGUCACUAUGCUUUAUACCAUAAAUACCACAUAUUUUGAGAGAAGGCAUAUACCAUCACUGCCUUGGUAAGGAUCCAGAAAUACCACAAAAGAGAGAUAUGAGAGAGUCAUACAAGGAAUCUCUAAGUUUUAUUUGAAAAUCUUCAAAAACUCCAGAGCUAUAGCUGAUCAAGAAUAAGAGACAUGACACUUGACUAGACCGUUCUAUCUUUUAACCACUCAAGACAGAAGUGACGGUUACAAGUCCCAUGGUGAAAGGUAAAGUAAGUAAGUUUUAAGUCUUGACAGUUUACUCUAAUUUAGAGAUGAUAUCUUAUUUAAAAGCAAGUGUACCAUCAAUUUUUAAAAAAAUAUGUUGCAACAACUUCUGAUCCAUCGCUGAGUCUAUCCUUGCUCAGGGACGAGCAAGAGGUAAGCUUGGGGGAGUUUGUUGACGGUCCUUAAGUAUCAAAUUUAAUUAUCAAAUAAACAAAGAAAAGGAUCCAAAUGAAAUCAGCAACUAGACUUAGGGUUUUAUCUGACAAAAUUCCAUGAGUUUUGGUGUUUGUCUAUUUCUGCAGGGGGUUAUCAGGAAAUACGGAAUAAAGGCCCACACGUCGGGAUUACAUAGAGAUAUCAAUGUGCCGUGCAAUUAUCUUACAUCUAGAAGACUCAAGAAGCCACGGGAAGGAAGCGGAGGCCGAACGGGGCCUGGCCUUGGGCGCCCGCCCAGGUAACCAGGGCGCCCGCCCCCCUUCUGAGUCCAAUCAGGACUCUCUUUCGGGAAAGAUCUCCACCGACCUAAAGGAUCAAGGAUAACCGUUCAAUCAAUGUCGGUUUGAUCCAACGGCCCAUAUUCACUUGAAGGGACUAUAAAACUAGACCCCCUGGCCCUUGGAGGAGAGAGCCUCUCAACCCUAAUUCAUUAUUCUCAAGGGAGAAGAAGCCUCUGAUCAAGAUUAGAGCCACCACAUCAAUUAGAUAUCUAGAUUAGCAUAGCUACAUAGGAUUAGAACUAGAAGGACUCAAUCUUCGAUUGGUUUCCGGAUCUGUCAAGAGGAUUCUUGGUAAUUCUCUAAUUGUGCUUCUAAUUGUUCUUCUAAUCAUCUUUGUUCUUCAAUAUUAUGAAUAUGACUUUAUUCUACUUCAAUAUAUUGCUUAUGACAUUGCUCUACUUGUUUAUAUUCAAGAUUAUAUUGUUCUUAGUUUAUCAUAGUUAUGUGCUUGGCUUAGUUCGAUUGGAUCUAUAUACAUGCUUACGAUCGUAUAGCGUUUAUCCAUCGGAUCCAUAGGUAAAUGAUAGAUAUUAUGUAGGCGUGGUGCUUAUACCGUAUUUAUCUGCGAUUGUACCCAAUAUGCCAGAUCGUGGGGUAGUUCGUGAUAGUGACAGCUUCAUUGAUUGUUAUAUAGUCCCCCUCUCGUGUAUUGGGCUGGUAGAGCAAUAUUAUUACAGGGGAGUGAUUGCUAUGUUUCUCAUUUACCUUGCUAAUAUCACUAUGCAUGGGCGUAGUCUUGUCUCGCAAUGAUUUCUAAGUAUGCUUGCACUAACUAUGAUAAUGUUAGACUAUAUUGUUGAGAAUAACUUAGAAUAUAUUCUUGUAGUAAUAUCCCAUUCAUUAUUUAUUUAGAAGAGCAAUUGCAUAUUUCAAUACCGCGUCUCUCAUGUCAUGCUGGGGAUGACAACUUGGCUUAAGUGGUAUGAGAGAUAGGUUUGGCAUUUUUGGCACCGUUACUAGAAUUAGAAAACUGUCUACUUUUGGUAAUGAUGUUAAGAAUACCCAACAUUAUUCUUAACUAUAAAGUCUAGCAUAUCAUAGUUAGUGCAAUUAUACUUGGCAAUCAUUGCGAGACAGGACUACGCCCUUGCAUAGUGAUAUUAUCAAGGAAGAUGAGAAAAAUAGCAAUCACUCCCCUGUAAUAAUGUUGCUCUGCCUGCCCUAUACACGAGAGGGGGACUAUAUAAGAAUCAAUGGAGCUGUCACUACCACAAACUACCCUGCGAUCCGGCAUAUAGGGUACAAUCGUAGAUAAAUACGGUAUAGGCACCACGGCUACACAAUAUUUAUCAUUUACCCACUGUACACAUGGAUAAACGCUAUACGAUCCUAAACAUGUAUAUAAUUCCAAUCUAACUAAGCCAAGCAUAAAACUAUGAUAAACUAAGAACGAUAUAAUUGCAAAUAUAAACAAGUAGAGCAAAGUCAUAAUCAAUAUAUUGAAGUUGAACAAAGUCAUAUUCAUAAUAUUGAAGAACAAUGAUGAACAAAUGAAGAACAGUAUAGGAAUUACCAAGAAUCAUCUUGAUAGAUCCGGAAACCAAUCGAAGAUUGACUCCUUCUAGUUCUAAUCCUAUGUAGCUAUGCUAAACUAGAGAUCUAGUUGAUGUGCUGGCUCUAGGGCUUGAUUAGAGACUUCUUCUCCCGAGAUGAAUGAAUGAAUUAUGGCUUUAGAGGUCCUCUCCUCCAGGGGCCAGGGGCCUGCUUAUAUAGUCCUUCCAAAUGAAUAUGGGCCGUCGGAUCAAACCGACCUUAAUCGCACGGUUUUCCUUAAUCCUCUAGGUCGGUGGAGCAUGAUCCGUGAGGUGGAGCCUAAUUGGCUCUCUGGCCAGGGCGGGUGCCCAAGGGGAGAGGGCGGGCGCCCUGUCCCCGGGCCCUCUCGGCCUCCCGCUCGUUCCAGUGGCUUCUGGACUCUUCUAGAUGUUGGAUAAUUGCGGUGCACAUUAAUAUCUCUAUGUAAACCCGACGUGUGGGCCUUUCUUCCAUGUUUCCUGAUAACCCCCUGUAGAAAUAGACAAACACCAAAACUCGUGGAAUUCUGUCAGAUAAAACCCUAAAGUCUGGGUGUCGAUUGCAUUUGGAUCCCUUUCUUUGUUUAUUUGUUGAUUAUAUUUGAUACUUAAGGACCGUCAACAAACUCCCCCAAGCUUACCUCUUGCUCGUCCCUGAGCAAGGAUAGACUCAGUGAUGGAUCAGAAGCUGCUGUAAUGCCAUUAAAAGUUGACGGUACACAUGCUUUCAAAUGAGGUCUCAUAUUUGAGUUAGAGUAAGCUGUCAAGAUUAAAACUUACUCAUUUUACCUUUUACCAUGGGACUUGUAAUCAUCACUUCUGUCUUGAGCAGUUAAAAGAUAGAACGGUCUAGUCAAGCGCCAUGUCUCUUAUUCUUGAUCAGCUAUAGCUCUGGAGUUUUUGUAGAUUUUCAAAUAAAACUCAGAGAUUCCUUUGUAUGACUCUCUCAGAUCUCUCUUUUGUGGUAUUUCUAGAUCCUUACCAUGGCAGUGAUGGUAUAUGCCUUCUCUCAAAGUAUGUGGUAUUUGUGGUAUGAAGCAUAGUAAACUUGCCUUCUCUCUCACCCUACUUUAAUAACGCUUUUGAUAUCUGGAGCUCAUAGGUGGGAGAUAAAGUAUACAUACUUACAAGACAUUUAUUGCAUAGUCAAACCAUGGAUCCAGAGAAACAAGUCAAUAAUUCAAAUCAAGAUGUGCAUGUGUGGCGAAUGAAUGGUGUAACAAUGGUGAAAGUCUAAUUCUACUUGUUGUGCUCUUUUGAGGGGAUACUUACCUUUCUUGCUCUUUGAAACUUUUUGAGGAGAAUGAGAUGCUCUAUAUUUUCUUUUUCUUUCCCCUCAGGUGGGUAUCUUGUAUCCCUAAUUCUACUAUCGGACACUUGUCCAUUUUUACCUCUCGUCUCACUUUUUCUUUUCUUUCGAGGUUCCGGGCACUUGCCCCUUUUUAUUUCCUCGUAUCUUUUUUCUUUUUUUUCUUUUUUAGAGCACUCAUCUCCUGAAAUAAUAUAGCAAAUGGUAGUAACCAAGAUAACUCGAGCAUUUAUUUCACCAGGAAAAAACAGAAAUAGGAGAAUGUUUUUGGCUAUUCUCUCCCGGAUUAGGAGUAGAAUACUUUUGGGUGGCUCUAGAGAUGGAAAUUAGUAGAUAUAUGUGGUGCGUAAUUCCGGAGUAGAAGCAGCAUGUGUGAGUGAACGAGCAAGUGAAUCUUAAUUUUAACCGCAUGGCAAGCUCCUAAGGGUCUACACAGCUUGACCACACUCAAUGCUCAUAAGCAGUAAAAAGUAAAUGUGUGGCUCAAAGUCUAGCAAGCAUGUAUAUAUGGCUGUGGUAGAAAUUUAAACUCUCAUCAUACAAGAACUCAUCAUGUGAUAUUUUAAGAUUUUCAAAGAUAAAAUUCUCCAGAGUUCUAGCAUCUCUAGAAACAGAUAAACAGCAGCUCAACCUUCCCAUAUCAUAUCCGUUAACAACUUAGACUUCAGAUCAAGUUCUCUUCCCACAAGUUCAGGUUUAGAGCCAGCUUUAAAUUAUACCAGUUAUGUCUAAACUAGAGAGAGAACUCAAAUAUGAAAAUUAGGCAGAGCAACUAUUCAUCAUAUCCAUGCUAGAGUCUUAUUAAGAUUCAGUUUAGCAUAGCCACUUUAUUUAUUUAUUAAGCAUACUAAGCAAAAGAUAUAUAUAUAAGCACAAAAUCUUUAUUUGGUUUUUCAUGGAUAUGUAUAUAUAUAUUUUUUUAAUAUAGUAUAAGUAUAAAUGCAGAUAGAAAUACUUAGCGAGAUAAAUGCGGGUGCUCUCCUCCAAGCUGGAUUUUAACGUAAUUUCUUCUGUUGUAGCUAGCAGGUGCUGGAGGUGUAUUUGAAAGUCGGCAGCACCCUGACAGCAAUUAGAAUGUCCUCCGUCUGCUAGUCUUCUUGAUCCUUGAAUUCUGUGAUCUCCAAUAGACAACAAAGCUUUGUGGAACUGAUUAGAUGUUAGCAUAAUAUUUAGAGCCACCUCAAUAAAUGCUACUUUCUUUGGUAGGAUCACAAUUUUAUUUUUGUAUUUUCAUUUUUAUAGAGCGGAAGAAUAUUUUUAUUUUAUUAUUAUUUUUUUAUGCCACCGUAGUGAAUGUACUUACGGAUUUGAUGCCACUUGUAUACUCACAUGGGACUUACUGGUUUUAACAUUUUUAUUUUCUUUUUAGGAUAGUAUGAAUAUAAUUAACUAAGCAAACUACUUUAAAUAAUUGAAAGGAAAAGGAUAACUACCAAGUUUACCUCUUGGCAAGGCGUUCGGUGUUUUUAAGUCCUCCGAACGGGACUCUCCGUUUUCUCAGUCGUCCUAGGAUUCGCUGGAUGGUAUAGUCGGUGUUACAGAACCGACCAAAUUAUAAGAGUUCAAGUGUAGAAACAAUCGACAAGCAAUCAAGUUUCCAAACUUGAGCCCAUAUAAUACUGGUAGUCAAUUGAAAUCACGAAGGACUUCAAACCAACUUGCAACAAACCAAGAUCGUAAUAACUCAGCACAACACAGCGAAUGUUACAUAGUCAUUCAUUGCUAUCGAAGCGGCACCACAUCGGAGUUAUUAAGUUAUUACAACACAUGUUCGAAGUAGCGGAAGCAAAAUAAUUACACAACGGAAAACAUCGUCAUAACAUAACGAACAUGUUAAGAUUGCACAUUGGGUCUACAAAGUUAUUACACCAUCACAGUACAUGCCAUGAGUCAAGGUCAAAGUUCCGGAUUACAACAUGGGUACAAAAGCAUCACCGCUAGCUGCCAGACUACAGAAGAUCCUCACAUAACACUACCCACUAGUCCCUACACUCCAGGCUCAUCGUCCGAGUCAGCGUCGAAGAUUGCAUCUCCAUCCUCAUCGCUAACUGACUCAAGCUCCUCGUCCUCCACGUCCUCGUGCAAGGGUGGUGCAUCCGCUGCUGGUCCAUCGAUCUCCAUACCAUCAUCAUCGGCCACAAUCACCUGAGGUCCCACCUCUGGAUACACGGGUAUAGGGUGAGGAAUAGGGUGUAACAAGUUGUUGAGACGGUGAAUCUCCACAAGACCAGCCUCAAUCUGAUCCUGUAGAUAGUUCUCCCGCUCAAGCGACUGAACCCGGUGCAUCUCCCAAGCCCGGCGCCAGUUCUCCGACACACGGAGUGCAGUGUCCCUCUCACGAGUGAUCUGCACCAAGCGCUCCUGUAUUGUCUCCCUCUCUCGAGACAACUGGCUCAUAUGAUCCUGCUUAUGAUCCCUCUCCCUAAUGGCCUUCACCCACGCAAUGCCUUUCCAGUCAUUGCGGUCCUUCUGAGCUUGCUCCAGGAGUCUAGCUUGCUUGUGAAACUUGCGAGCACGCUUUUCAGCCUUCCGUUGCAUCUCCUGAGCCUGGCGAACAGCCACCAUCACCUGUGCAU